This 122-nucleotide ribosomal RNA is filed under the name Microcebus murinus (gray mouse lemur). Lineage: Eukaryota; Metazoa; Chordata; Mammalia; Primates; Cheirogaleidae. The record is from RNAcentral.
GUCUACGGCUAUACUACCCUGAAUGUGCCUGAUCUCGUCUGAUCUCGGAAGCUAAGUAGGGUCGGGCCUGGUUAGUACUUGGAUGGGAGACAACGAUGAGGGAAAUUUGGUUAUCAUAAAGA